Molecule: ribosomal RNA, 370 nt
Filed under: Seriola rivoliana (Almaco jack)
Lineage: Eukaryota; Metazoa; Chordata; Actinopteri; Carangiformes; Carangidae
Description: partial 12S ribosomal RNA
Rfam family: Bacterial small subunit ribosomal RNA
Source: RNAcentral
AACCUCACCCUUCCUUGUUUUUCCCGCCUAUAUACCACCGUCGUCAGCUUACCCUGUGAAGGACGAAUAGUAAGCACAAUUGGCACAGCCCAAUACGUCAGGUCGAGGUGUAGUGCAUGAGAGGGGAAGAAAUGGGCUACAUUCGCUAGCAACUAGCGAAUACGAAUGAUGUGUUGAAAUACACAGCUGAAGGAGGAUUUAGCAGUAAGCAAGAAGCAGAGUGUCUUGCUGAAACCGGCUCUAAAGCGCGCACACACCGCCCGUCACCCUCCCCAAGCUCCCCGGACCAUCUUUAACUAAAGCCCUACAACUGCAAAGGAGAGGAAAGUCGUAACAUGGUAAGCGUACCGGAAGGUGCGCUUGGUAAAAU